GACGAACGCUGGCGGCGUGCUUAACACAUGCAAGUCGAGCGGAAAGGCCCUUCGGGGUACUCGAGCGGCGAACGGGUGAGUAACACGUGGGUAACCUGCCCCUUGCUCUGGGAUAACUCCGGGAAACCGGGGCUAAUACCGGAUAUGACACUUGAAGGCAUCUUUUGGGUGUGGAAAGUUUUUCGGCGAGGGAUGGACCCGCGGCCUAUCAGCUUGUUGGUGGGGUAAUGGCCUACCAAGGCAGUGACGGGUAGCCGGCCUGAGAGGGCGACCGGCCACACUGGGACUGAGACACGGCCCAGACUCCUACGGGAGGCAGCAGUGGGGAAUAUUGCGGCAAUGGGCGAAAGCCUGACGCAGCGACGCCGCGUGAGGGAUGACGGCCU
This 386-nucleotide ribosomal RNA is filed under the name uncultured bacterium. Its description in RNAcentral is "bacterial SSU rRNA". It matches the Rfam family "Bacterial small subunit ribosomal RNA", at positions 28 to 417 of the family's 1533-position model. The record is from RNAcentral.